GAUGAACGCUGGCGGCGUGCUUAACACAUGCAAGUCGAACGAAGCAUUUGCGACAGAUUUUUUCGGAAUGAAGUUGCUUAUGACUGAGUGGCGGACGGGUGAGUAACGCGUGGGUAACCUGCCUUGUACUGGGGGAUAGCAGCUGGAAACGGCUGGUAAUACCGCAUAAGCGCACAAUGUUGCAUGACAUGGUGUGAAAAACUCCGGUGGUAUAAGAUGGACCCGCGUCUGAUUAGCUAGUUGGUGAGAUAACAGCCCACCAAGGCGACGAUCAGUAGCCGACCUGAGAGGGUGACCGGCCACAUUGGGACUGAGACACGGCCCAGACUCCUACGGGAGGCAGCAGUGGGGAAUAUUGCACAAUGGAGGAAACUCUGAUGCAGCGACGCCGCGUGAGUGAAGAAGUAAUUCGUUAAGUAAAGCUCUAUCAGAAGGGAAGAUAGUGACGGUACCUGACUAAGAAGCUCCGGCUAAAUACGUG
This 481-nucleotide ribosomal RNA is filed under the name uncultured bacterium. RNAcentral describes it as "partial 16S ribosomal RNA". It matches the Rfam family "Bacterial small subunit ribosomal RNA", at positions 28 to 507 of the family's 1533-position model. The record is from RNAcentral.